AGCGAACGCUGGCGGCAGGCUUAACACAUGCAAGUCGAACGGGCACCUUCGGGUGUCAGUGGCAGACGGGUGAGUAACACGUGGGAACGUGCCCUUUGGUUCGGAACAACUCCGGGAAACUGGAGCUAAUACCGGAUAAGCCCUUCGGGGAAAGAUUUAUCGCUAAAGGAUCGGCCCGCGUCUGAUUAGCUAGUUGGUGAGGUAAUGGCUCACCAAGGCGACGAUCAGUAGCUGGUCNGAGAGGAUGAUCAGCCACACUGGGACUGAGACACGGCCCAGACUCCUACGGGAGGCAGCAGUGGGGAAUAUUGGACAAUGGGCGAAAGCCUGAUCCAGCCAUGCCGCGUGAGUGAUGAAGGCCUUAGGGUUGUAAAGCUCUUUCGGCGGGGACGAUAAUGACGGUACCCGCAGAAGAAGCCCCGGCUAACUUCGUGCCAGCAGCCGCCGUAAG
Molecule: ribosomal RNA, 451 nt
Filed under: uncultured bacterium
Lineage: Bacteria
Description: bacterial SSU rRNA
Rfam family: Bacterial small subunit ribosomal RNA
Source: RNAcentral